AAAAGAAAGGGCAUCCUCAAAAGAGUAGAAACUUCCUUCAAAUUAAGCAGAAAUUUUGGAGAAACCACAGCAGGAGGAAUGACGCUGCUUCCACUACAGUAUAUGAGAAAGAAGAUGUUUAUUCCUGUAGUGAAGAUAUAUCACUUAGGACAGCUUUUAACUGAGGACUGUGCCAAAGCUUCCCUGGUACUUUAUCAGACUUGCAAAUGAAGAAAGCAAUCCAUUUCUCAAAGCACUUUUGGAUUUCUUCUAGCAAUUUGAAGACUUGCUUAUAAUGUUCUGAAAACUCCUUUGUAGUCCUUCUCCAGAUGCUCUUCUGAAUUAUUCCGGAUCAUUAUGCUGAAACCAUCUCUUGAAGCACCCAUCUGAACAAAGCAUUAAGACUGUUGGUUACAUCUGCUUUGGGACUGCCCAAGAGGACUUCAUCCUGACUCUACCUUGUUACUGCAGCUCAUAUGAUACUGCCUGUCCUAUUUCCAUGUGGUUCUGCAUCUAGAAUUCUUCCACUGUUUGUUUCUUGCUAAACAUUUUUUAGCAAGCUGAGGAUAAAAUCUUCAAAUAAAAAUGACAGACUAGUGCACUUUGGUAACAUGCAACGUUUUGUAAAUUUAAACUAUUCCUAUCAGUAGUUGUCCUUCUCUUAACAGUUGCCCUCUUGUGAAGCAAAAACAUUUCCAGAAUUUCACUUGUGUCUAAGACAGCAAAAGAAAGAAGAAAGUGUAAGAACAAUAUUUCAACAGGACUAAAAGAAUCCUAUACAAAGCAUUUAAGGUCUGCUGAACCUGCACUCUGAGUAAAUAUACAUGUUUUUUGCA
This is a long non-coding RNA of Manacus vitellinus (golden-collared manakin), 815 nucleotides long. RefSeq lists it as uncharacterized. The record is from RefSeq and is a predicted model, not a curated record. NCBI's taxonomy places the organism in Eukaryota, Metazoa, Chordata, Aves, Passeriformes, Pipridae. The transcript is spliced from 3 exons.